GCGAUUUGCAAGGUGGAAACAGUAAGAGGUGUCUGGUGAGACUCCGGCAGCUCAACAAUAGGGAGCGGCUUGAAGUGCGGCGUAGAAGAAAGGAAAGAGGUAUUACGCAAGCCGACAUAGGAAAGUAGCUGAGUGAGAGAAGGAGUUCCUCUAACGAUCUGAACAAAGAUCUGAAAGAAGAAAAGAAGCCAGUUAAGCAGUGACCUCCAGGCAGGUAGAGUCCUCGGAGCGUAAACACCGGCGGCCUGAGCCAGCUCGGCCAUAGGUUCACCGGUAAGGGAAGGAGGCUGGUAAAGUAACGUGAAAA
Molecule: unclassified non-coding RNA, 307 nt
Filed under: Hevea brasiliensis (rubber tree)
Lineage: Eukaryota; Viridiplantae; Streptophyta; Magnoliopsida; Malpighiales; Euphorbiaceae
Source: RNAcentral